Molecule: ribosomal RNA, 460 nt
Filed under: uncultured bacterium
Lineage: Bacteria
Description: partial 16S ribosomal RNA
Rfam family: Bacterial small subunit ribosomal RNA
Source: RNAcentral
CCUACGGGUGGCAGCAGUGAGGAAUAUUGGUCAAUGGGCGCGAGUCUGAACCAGCCAAGUAGCGUGAAGGAUGACUGCCCUACGGGUUGUAAACUUCUUUUAUAAAGGGAUAAAGUGAGGCACGUGUGCCUUUUUGUAUGUACUUUAUGAAUAAGGAUCGGCUAACUCCGUGCCAGCAGCCGCGGUAAUACGGAGGAUUCGAGCGUUAUCCGGAUUUAUUGGGUUUAAAGGGAGCGUAGAUGGGUGGAUAAGUUAGUUGUGAAAGUUUGCGGCUCAACCGUAAAAUUGCAACUGAUACUGGCAGUCUUGAGUGCAGUUGCGGUAGGCGGAAUGUGUGGUGUAGCGGUGAAAUGCUUAGAUAUCACGAAGAACUCCGAUUGCGAAGGCAGCUUACUAAGCUGCCACUGACAUUGAUGCUCGAAAGUGUGGGUAUCAAACAGGAUUAGAUACCCCAGUAGUC